AUUGCGGAAUUUAAUAUACAGUUUGUAAUUGCUCAUCCUAUGUGUUCUAAUUCACGGAGACAAUGUCUUUCAGUCUUUUCACCCAAGGAGGCAUGCAUAUACGGAUUUAGGCUUUGACAAGAAACAACCAAAAUGGCGGCCGGUGAAUUAGAAAGUGAUCUGAACGGAGAAUAGGAGUACUGCAUCCCAUCUGAUCCUGCAGUCAAUUCACCCAAGGAGGCAUGCAUAUACGGAUUUAUAGGCUUUGACAACAAACAACCAAAAUGGCGGCCGGUGAAUUAGAAAGUGUCUGAGUGCAUGAAGGAUAUCUGAACGGAGAAUAGGAGUACUGCAUCCCAUCUGAUCCUGCAGUCAUUUCACCCAAGGAGGCAUGCAUAUACGGAUUGAUAGGCUUUGACAACAAACAACCAAAAUGGCGGCCGGUGAAUUAGAAAGCGUCUGAGUGCAUGUCGGAUAUCUGAACGGAGAAUAGGAGUACUGCAUCCCAUCUGAUCCUGCAGUCAUUUCACCCAAGGAGGCAUGCAUAUACGGAUUGAUAGGCUUUGACAACAAACAACCAAAAUGGCGGCCGGUGAAUUAGAAAGUGUCUGAGUGCAUGUAGGAUAUCUGAACGGAGAAUAGGAGUACUGCAUCCCAUCUGAUCCUGCAGGUAAGUGUUUAUUUGUUUACAAUGACAGUCGGGAUGGAAUGUCAAUGAGUUCAACUGUCAAGUAAAGUUGCAUCAUCAUUAUAAAAAAAAAACUUAGUCUUUAUGUUGAUGCAGGCAGACAAUUGAAUCUGGCCUAUGUCUUUUCAUGAAUGUAAAUGGAAUUCAUGUUUGAUUGACAAGACAGUCAAGAAAUGGAAGAAGUGGGUGUAGGUCAGAUGUGUAGGUGUAGGUCAGAUUAGCUAGAAUCCUGUAAUUGUUGCAUGGCAUGAGACCGGUCAAAAUAGUGUAUUGAAACAGCUGAUCACAAUCAGAUCACUUGAAGGGUGGGGGGUUUCUUCCUUGGGGACGACAGGCGUGAUGGGUGUGUUGGCCUUACUCGUGGAGACUGGCCCCUGGAUGCGUGACCUUGACCUUUGACCUUGACCCACUUUCAAGGUCAAACCUCAAAAAUCCUGUUGUUGGGCAUGAAACCGGUCAAAAUAGUGUAUUAUAAACAGCUGAGGACAGACAGAUCACUUGAAGGGUGGGGGGUUUCUUCCUUGGGGACGACAGGCGUGAUGGGUGGGUUGGCCUUACUCGUGGAGACUGGCCCCUGGAUGCGUGACCUUGACCUUUGACCUUGACCCACUUUCAAGGUCAAACCUCAAAAACCCAUGGGGGAGAAAGUGUGACUUUGACCUUGACCUGAUUUUGAAGGUCAGAGAGGUCACGGGGAUUCGUUUAAGUGGUCCCGCAUCCCUAUCUACAUCCGUGAAGAAGUUGUGGGCUCGAACGACGACGUCGGAGACUUUCGGGGGCGAGAACCGUGCUUCGGGGUUCUCGGUUUCCCUCGGUCAACUUUUCUGUGCGAGACCGUUUCAUCUGGAAUUCGUCGGCGAAGGUCUCGCCUCUCCACGACUUGCGGUCUAGUGAGAGUAGCAAUAACGGGGUUUUCGACGUUAAGUCGCCGCCAUUCGCAGAGUGGUCAAAGUUCAGAGUUGACAUUCGUGAUGCCGAGACCGGUCCAAAAUUCCUUGCUGACCCGUGUGAUAUUUCGAUGCUAUCUGAAGCGUGAAAGAGCAUAUAAAAAGUGCCAUUUUCUGGCCAUUCUGGAUGACCUUUGACCUUGACCUACUUUUUCAAGGUCAAGGUCACCCAACCCGUCCCAGUGGGUUCCGUCUCUUUACGACGAAGACUUUAGGAGUCGUCAAUUUGUAGGGGACAAAUCGCAAAACAUGAGGGGGCAUUAACUCCCUUUAAGGGACACCGAAUCCCUUCAUUUGAAAUUCUUCGCUUCUACUAAUUACCCUCUGUGUUUUAGAAAAGGUUUCAUCCUCCUAUCAUUUACGGUUACAAAGUAGAAGUGCUAACAAUGAUUUCUGCGAAAGGUCAAAUAACUCCGUAAGGGGUCAAAGUUCAAUUACGCAGGGUGAACUGUAUUCGUUUCUCAAGAAGUACUAUAUGAUGGACUAUAAAGUUUUUCGAUAAGUCUUAAGACGAAGAUUUUUUUUGACGGCAGGAAAAUAAUAAUAAUAAUAAUAAUAAUAAACAGAACAAUAACAAUAGGACUUUCCACUGAAAGGUGGAAAGCCCUAAUAAACAGAACAAUAACAAUAGGACUUUCCACUGAAAGGUGGAAAGCCCUAAUAACGAGCUAUAACUGUGUUGGGAUGCCAACACAAAUGUCUCCGAACACCUCCCCUUGUCAGAAAUGAUAUUUGAUGCCAGAUCAGGAUUCUCAAAUAACCCUAGAAACUAAAUUUGGUUGAAAUCCGACGGACUUGAUUUUUUGGCCGUCAUUUUCUUCAAUGGCGGCCAUUUUGAAACAUUUGAAAAUUGAUUGGAAGGAAAUACUGAUGCUAGAAAUGAAUUGUGGACCCUCCAUUUACCCCAGAACCCAAAUGUUGUUGAGAUUUUAACACUUUCAAAUAUUUUGGUAUAUGUUGGCCAUUUUGAAAAUGGCGGCUCAAAAAAAAAAUUGAUGGUGGAAAUGGACUUGGGGUCAUAAAAUUACCCUAGAAAUAGAAUUUGGUUGAAAUCCGACAACCUUGAGUUUUUGACGUUUUUUGGCCGCCAUCUUGAAACGGCGGCCAUUUUGAAAAUUUGAAAAGUUGAAUGCACCCCUCCUAGUGACCCCCUAUCAGCUCACAAAGUUUGAAGUGGAUCUGUUGAAGCACUUUCACAAAAUCGGUCGGACAAAUUUCUCACUAAAGAAGAGGAAUAAUAAGAAUAAGAAGAAAAUAAUAAUAAUAAUAAGAAACGGAGCAAAAACAAUAUGUCUCCGACACUUUGUGUUCGGAGACAUAAUAAUAACUAGAGACUCAUUACUAGUAAUGAGUAGGUCUUCCGUUAGACCACUUCCGGUAAAGAGCUUUCUGUUCCUACGAAAACCAUUUAAAUAUAUCAGAAAAUGUGCCUUAACAAUGAAUGAGAAAUGUAUUAUCGAAUUUUUUACUCCUUUCUCGUAACUUCCGGUGAUGACCUGAAGUACUAUUCAGAUGUGUUUUCCUAUAAAUGACAGCCACUCUUUACUGUCUAUAUUCCCUGAAAAUUUCACGUCUUUAUCUGAAGAGUUCUCAACAAAAAGAAGUAGACUAAAGAAAGAAAAAGUAGUACGUAACUACCGACCGGAAGUCGAUUUUGAAAAACGAAAUUGUCAAAACGCUAGAAGUUGAUACUAUUCUUAAGACAUGUGAAAAUCAUAUCAAAGACUUCAAAUAUAAGCGAGAUUUGUGGGGACAAAGAGACAAAAAGUAAAAAAGUAUUUUAUCAAGAAACUGGAAGUAGUCGUUUUGACUAUCGACGGGGUCAAUAUUCUUUUGACAUUUUGAAAGAGACUUAAUAAACUAGUAUAAGUUUCAAUUUAAAAGAAAAAGUUUGAAAUUUACAAUUAUUUCAAUCACUUCCGGUGACGACAGGAAGUGACGGUCGACAUGCUCAACACCCUAUUGCAUGCUUACAAACGGAGAUUGAUUAUCCCUGAAUAAUUGAUGAACCUAUCUUUUACCCUUUCCAAGAAAAAUGCUGGAUAAAAUCUCGUUUCAGAAACAGAAAAUUGGCCAUAUUUUCCUACCGGAAGUGAAUUUUGGAAAAACAAAAAUAACCACAGGAAAGUCAUUUCAUAAGACAUUAUUCCUGAAAAUUUCAAAAAAAUCUAUCCAGCCAUCUCUGAGAAAUCACUCGAAGAAAUCGGAAAAUCGUCAUUUUUUUCAAAUACUUCCGGUAUAGAGCGGAAGUGACGGACGAAGAAAUUGAAAGUAUGUGUACAAUGACCUAAUGCUAGUUGAUCAACCCUACAAGUUUCAAGCGUCUAUAUAUUUUCGUUAUUGAGAAACUGAAAAAACAAAGUUUCAAUUUGUCCACCCCCUAUCUCACAACCGGAAGUGAAUUUUCGAAAAAUAUUUGACGUUACUCUAGACAUUUAUAGUGUCUACAAUAUAUGUUAAAUACAAGUCAAACACUUGUUUAGUAAACGAGAUUUAAGGCAUUGAAAAAGGAGAAUUUGAAAAGUUUUUCCUUAAUUACCGGAAGUCGACGUUUCCACUUCCGGUGGGGUCAACGGUUUUCAAUACUCCAAAAGGUAUCUGAUAAAGUGGUAUAGGUUUCGAUUCAACAACUACAACUUUAAUUUUUCGAUUCUUCUUAUCACUUCCGUUGACGACCGGAAGUGACGGCCGACAUUCUGAACCCCCAACUGCACGCCUACAAAGUGAGAUCUAUUAACUCUGAAAUUUUGGUGACUCUAUCUUUUACCGUUUCUGAGAAAAACGAUGGACAAAAUCUCUUCUAAAAAAACGGAAAUUGGACAUAUCUAACGACCGGAAGUAAAUUUUGAAAAAAUGAAAAAAAAUACCUGGGGGUAUUUUCAUUCUCUAUCAUCCCUGAAAAUUUCAAAAAAAUCCAUCCAGCCAUCUCUGAGAAAUCAUGCCGACAAAAAAGGGGAAAUAAUAAUAAUAAUAAUAACUAGACACUCAUUACUGGUAAUGAGUAGGUCUUCCGUUUGAAUACUUCCGGUACAUAGCUUUCUGUUCUUACGAGAAUCCUUCAAAUAUAUCAGAAAAUGUGCCUUUUCAAGACAUGAGAGGUGUGUUAAUGAAGUUUUUACCAAUUUCUCGUAACUUCCGGUGACGACCGGAAUUAAUAUUCAGAUGUGUUUUCCCAUAAACCACAGCGACUCCCUAUUCUCUAUAUACCUUGAAAGUUUCACGUCUCUAUUUGAAAGAGUUCUCAAGAAAAAGAAGCAGACUAAAGAAAGAAAUAGUAGUGGCUUACUACCGACCGGAAGUGAAUUUUGAAAAAUAAAAUAGUCUUAAAUCAAGAUGUUGAUACUGUUCUGAAGAUAUUUGAAAAUCAUAUCAAACACUUGAAAUAUAAACGAGAUUGAUGGGGGACAAAAAGACGAAAGGUAUCAGAGUAUUUUCUCGAGAAACCGGAAGUAGUCGUUUUGACUACCGACGGGGUCAACAUUCUUUAAAUACUUUGAAAGAGACUUAAUAAACUAGUGUAGGUUUCAAUUUAAAAGAAAAAGUUUGAAAUUAGUUAUUCUUUCAAUCACUUCCGGUUACGACCGGAAGUGAUAACGAAAAACAAAUUAAUGUGCAUGCACUAUACAAUCGAGAGAUCUAUAAUACCUGAAAGUUUCAUUUGUUCCUCUUGAGUCGUUUUUUAGAUUACCCCCGGAAAAGAUGAUUUUUUGAAAAAUGGAAAUCGGAAAUAUCUUACGAACGGAAGUAGAUUUUAUAAAAAUGAAAGAUCCUGUCUAAGGGUACUACAAUUCUCUAUCAUCUUCAUAAUUAACAAGAAUAUCCAUUUAACAAUCUCUGAGGAAUCGUGUUGAAAAAAUUUGAAUAUAGUAAAUUUUUCAACCACUUCCUGUUGAAACUGGAAGUGACGUACACUCAUAUAUAAAAUAGGUUGAAGAUGGACUACUGCAAAUCUAUAACCCCUGCAAGUUUCAAGGGUAUAUCUAUACUCAUUCCGGAGAUAUCAGGGAAACAAAGUCUGAAUUUGUCCACACCAUAUCUAACGACCAGAAGUGAAUUUUACAAAAAUAUUUGAUGUUACUGUCGACAUAUAUAGUGACUAUAAUAUAUGUAAAACUCAACUUAUUAACUUGUUUCAUGACUGAGAUUUAUGGCACUGAAAAAUAAGCGAAUAAAUAGACUUUCUUUGAUAUAACCGGAAGUUGGAGAUUCAACUUCCGGUGGGGUCAACAUUGUUUGAGAAUUAGUAAGAGACCUUGUAAACCGAUAUAAGUUUCAAUUUGAAAUAAAAAAGUUUGAAAUUGAUGAUUCAUUUAAGCACUUCCGGUGACGACCGGAAGUGACGGCAACAAAAAAUAUUAAGUGCAUGCGCCAUAGAGAAAAUAGAUCUAUCAUCCCUGAAAGUUCCAUUAGAUUAUCUUUAGUGGUUUUCAAGUUUACCCCCGGACAAGGUUGCUUUCAAAAACCGGAAAAUCGGACGUAUCUGACGAACGGAAGUGAAUUUUGAAAAAAUGAAAAAAAUGCCUGGAGGUAUCAUCGUUCUCUAUAACCUGUGAAAGUUUCAGGAAAAUCCAUCCAACGGUCUCGGAGACGAAAGGGAAAAAAAAUAAUAAUAAUAAACAGUAGAAUCACUAGAAGGUCUUCCGUUGGUAACGGAAGACCUUAACUAGUACUUAUUGUAACGGGGACCGUUACAGAUGUUCCCCAAACAUUCCCCAAUUUAGUAAGUGGUGACAUUUAUUUCAGUACAAGUUGUUUUGACCAUUGCAAACUGUGUAGCAUGUGAAUAUAUAACUAUCUUAUAACGUUCAGUCCAUUUCAUACUAGUUCAAAUCAGUUAUAAAGAUCUGAGAGUUUUGUGCACGUACGUGCAUGCACGUGCAUAUAAAUAAUUCCACCAUCUCGAUACAUUAGAAUUCUUACUAUAUGAGUACAAGAGAAGUUUCACAACUGUUCAAUGAAAAACGAGAAAUUAACGGCAACUCAACACUACAAAGACCGAAAUCAAUGCACGUGCAUACACGUGCGCAUGAGUACCACACAACAAUUUUGUUGAUGCUAUUCAAUAGACAUUUGAAAAAUAUACUUACUAUAUGAAUUUGGUAUCGAUCGCUUCACUCAUAAGAAAGUUAUUGGGAUUUCAAAAUCGUCCAAUCAGAAUUAAGCGCACGUGCAUGCGCGUGCAGGGAAGUGAUUUUGAGACUAUUAAUAGAUUGAGAGGCCCAAAACAUACCUGCAACCUAAUUUUCAAACCUAUUCAUUGCAAUCUCAAAAUGUUAUAGACCAAUACUUAAAUUUAGACGUCAAAAAUUACAAUGCACGCGCAUUCACCCGCACGUGAUUUUGAUAAUGGAAAAUUUGUUGACACCAUUUCAUAGACAUUCAUAUGAUAGAUCCUCAGGGUAAAUUUGAAUUCAUUUGAGUUUUUAAUUCAAUAGUUAUAACCAUUUUAGUACCCGAAAAAUGAAAGAAAAGCUAUGCACGUGCAUACACGGGGCACGUGAGUAUCACUCAGCAUCAAUGUUGAUGUCAUUCAAUAGACAUUUGAUAAAUAUACUUACAGUAUAAAUUUCAUAUUGUUUCCAUCAUUUAUAAGAAAGUUAUGGCGAUUUGAAAAUCGUCCAAUCAGAAUUUAGCACACGUGCAUGCACAUGCCGGAUGGUAAUUAUGACUGUACACUUUUGUUAAGAAUAUCAAGAUACAUAUACUAUACAAGUUUGAAAAGAUUUUGACAAAAAACAAAAAAGUUAUGGUCAUUCAAAGAAUUGAACCUUCAAAAGAUAAUGCAUGUGCGUGCGCAUGCGCGUUUGCAAUUUUUAUUUCAUUGAUCUGUAGAUAUUUUGCAUGUCUACCUAUCCUGUAAAUAUCAUAAAAUUUCCUUAAUUGGCAUGAAUGUUAUAAACGGUUUUGUAUUAUCCAAUCAAAUUGAAGCACACGUGCAUGCGCGUGCAGAAUUGAAAUUUUGACGAUGCCAAACAGUUAAGGGCCCAAGUUAUACCUACGAUAUAAAUAUCAAACGAUUUCAUUGAAAAAUAAAGAAGUUAGACGCAUUCCAAAGUUUGUAAACAAAAAAUCCAAUGCACGUGCAUGCACAUGCAUGCAUUUUCAGACAAAAUGACAUUCGUUCCACACAUCUACAUAUGCUAUACUAUCAUCCUAAAAAGGUUUCAUAUUGAUCCCUUGAGUAGUUUCUGAGAACACUUGUGGACAAAAAAGUCCCAAGAAGAAAGAAAGAAUAAUAAUAAUAACUAGACACGAUCUCGUUGCGAGCAACGAGUAGGUCUUCCGUCCGAUUUGUUGAUGCACUCGGAGUUAAAAAAAAAAAAAAAAAGACAAAUGAG
Ostrea edulis (European flat oyster) is the source of this 7952-nucleotide long non-coding RNA. RefSeq lists it as uncharacterized. Lineage: Eukaryota; Metazoa; Mollusca; Bivalvia; Ostreida; Ostreidae. The transcript has 4 exons. The record is from RefSeq and is a predicted model, not a curated record.